UACAGAGGUCCCAAGCGUUACUGAGAAUCACUGGGUUUAAAGGGUGCGUAGGUGGUCCGUUAAGUAUCUUGUGAAAUCCCCCGGCUCAACCGGGGAAUGGCUGGAUAUACUGGCGGUCUUGAGCGAUCUAGGGGCAGAUGGAACAAGUGGUGGAGCGGUGAAAUGCGUAGAUAUCACUUGGAACGCCAAAGGUGAAAACAGUCUGCUGGGGAGCUGCUGACGCUGAGACACGAAAGCGUGGGUAGCAAACAGG
RNAcentral lists this ribosomal RNA (253 nucleotides) under uncultured bacterium. RNAcentral describes it as "partial 16S ribosomal RNA". It matches the Rfam family "Bacterial small subunit ribosomal RNA", at positions 524 to 776 of the family's 1533-position model. The record is from RNAcentral.